UGUUGUUGGACGAUAAGGCAAUCCCAAUCGCCCCAUCUCGAAAAUAUCGAGUGACAAUCUCGUGUCGAACGAAUCGUGCCCUGAUCGUACCAACCAACUUACUAACUAAAGCUCCAACUCUCUACCAUAAAGGAGAUUAAAAAAGGACCUUCAAAAAAGGUACGCAACAACUCUGCCUCUCAUUCUUCUCUUUUUGUUGAACGAGAUUUUGACUUA
RNAcentral lists this long non-coding RNA (216 nucleotides) under Elaeis guineensis (African oil palm). RNAcentral's name for it is "long non-coding RNA (EGUI_LNC026142)". Lineage: Eukaryota; Viridiplantae; Streptophyta; Magnoliopsida; Arecales; Arecaceae. The record is from RNAcentral.